AAGACUAUAGACCUGCGGAGUACCUGCGGAGGGAUCAUUAUUGAAUUUUCCUAAAGAAAAAUUUUGUAUCUUGCUAUUCUCUUGAAAGAGAGGAUAAGUACAGUACAAGAUUUUUCUCAAACAAACGAUCACAACUAAUAAUUGAAUUGGUUUGGUUUGGUUUGGUUUGGCUUGAUAUAACAAGUGUUUGCCUGAUAAUCAAGAUGAUUUGGAUUGGAGAAAGAAAUACAACUUUUAACA
RNAcentral lists this unclassified non-coding RNA (240 nucleotides) under soil metagenome. RNAcentral describes it as "partial contains 5.8S ribosomal RNA, internal transcribed spacer 2, and large subunit ribosomal RNA". The record is from RNAcentral.